This 489-nucleotide ribosomal RNA is filed under the name uncultured bacterium. Its description in RNAcentral is "bacterial SSU rRNA". It matches the Rfam family "Bacterial small subunit ribosomal RNA", at positions 29 to 527 of the family's 1533-position model. The record is from RNAcentral.
AACGAACGCUGGCGGCGCGCCUAAUACAUGCAAGUCGAGCGAGAAGGUGUAGCAAUACACUUGUAAAGCGGCGAACGGGUGAGGAAUACAUGGGUAAUCUACCAUCGAGUGGGGAAUAACCAACCGAAAGGUUGGCUAAUACCGCGUACGCCUCCGAGUCUUCGGGUUCGGAGGGAAAGCUGCACUGUGAGUGUAGCGCUCUUUGAUGAGCUCAUGUCCUAUCAGCUUGUUGGUAGGGUAACGGCCUACCAAGGCUUUGACGGGUAGCUGGUCUGAGAGGACGAUCAGCCACAUUGGGACUGAGACACGGCCCAAACUCCUACGGGAGGCAGCAGUGGGGAAUCUUGCGCAAUGGGCGAAAGCCUGACGCAGCCAUGCCGCGUGAAUGAUGAAGGUCUUAGGAUUGUAAAGUUCUUUAGCCUGUGACGAUGAUGACGGUAACAGGAGAAUAAGCCCCGGCUAACUUCGUGCCAGCAGCCGCGGUAAUUG